This 492-nucleotide ribosomal RNA is filed under the name uncultured bacterium. Its description in RNAcentral is "partial 16S ribosomal RNA". It matches the Rfam family "Bacterial small subunit ribosomal RNA", at positions 29 to 507 of the family's 1533-position model. The record is from RNAcentral.
AGUGAACGCUGGCGGUAGGCCUAAUACAUGCAAGUCGAACGGCAGCACAGUAAGAGUUUGCUCUUACGGGUGGCGAGUGGCGGACGGGUGAGGAAUACAUCGGAAUCUACUUUUUCGUGGGGGAUAACGUAGGGAAACUUAUGCUAAUACCGCAUACGAUCUACGGGUGAAAGCAGGGGAUCUUCGGACUUUGCGCGAUUGAAUGAGCCGAUGUCGGAUUAGCUAGUUGGCGGGGUAAAGGCCCACCAAGGCGACGAUCCGUAGCUGGUCUGAGAGGAUGAUCAGCCACACUGGAACUGAGACACGGUCCAGACUCCUACGGGAGGCAGCAGUAGGGAAUAUUGCGCAAUGGGCGCAAGCCUGAUCCAGCCAUGCCGCGUGAGUGAAGAAGGCCUUCGGGUUGUAAAGCCCUUUUAUUGGGAAAGAAAAACAGCAGGUUAAUACCCCGCUGUUCUGACGGUACCCAAAGAAUAAGCACCGGCUAACUUCGUG